RNAcentral lists this ribosomal RNA (474 nucleotides) under uncultured bacterium. RNAcentral's name for it is "bacterial SSU rRNA". It matches the Rfam family "Bacterial small subunit ribosomal RNA", at positions 1017 to 1498 of the family's 1533-position model. The record is from RNAcentral.
CCUUCGGGAGCUAAUAUACAGGUGCUGCACGGCUGUCGUCAGCUCGUGUCGUGAGAUGUUGGGUUAAGUCCCGCAACGAGCGCAACCCUCGUCACUAGUUACUAACGGUUCGGCCGAGGACUCUAGUGAGACUGCCUUCGCAAGGAGGAGGAAGGUGAGGACGACGUCAAGUCAUCAUGGCCCUUACGGCUAGGGCAACACACGUGCUACAAUGGCCAGGACAAUGAGACGCGAUACCGCGAGGUGGAGCAAAUCUAUAAACCUGGUCUCAGUUCGGAUUGUUCUCUGCAACUCGAGAACAUGAAGCUGGAAUCACUAGUAAUCGUAGAUCAGCUAUGCUACGGUGAAUACGUUCCCGGGUCUUGUACUCACCGCCCGUCACACCAUGGGAGUUGAUUUCACCCGAAGCGGGGAAGCUAAACUGGCUACCCUCCACGGUGGAAUUAGCGACUGGGGUGAAGUCGUAACAAGGUA